Molecule: ribosomal RNA, 405 nt
Filed under: bacterium
Lineage: Bacteria
Description: partial 16S ribosomal RNA
Rfam family: Bacterial small subunit ribosomal RNA
Source: RNAcentral
UAAGGAAUAUUGCGCAAUGGGGGAAACCCUGACGCAGCAACGCCGCGUGGAGGAUGACACUUUUCGGAGCGUAAACUCCUUUUAUCAGGAAAGAAUAAUGACGGUACCUGAUGAAUAAGCACCGGCUAACUCCGUGCCAGCAGCCGCGGUAAUACGGGGGGUGCAAGCGUUACUCGGAAUCACUGGGCGUAAAGGACGCGUAGGCGGAUUAUCGAGUCUUUUGUGAAAUCUAGUGGCUUAACCACUAAACUGCUUAGGAAACUGAUAGUCUAGAGUAGGGGAGAGGUAGAUGGAAUUCUUGGUGUAGGGGUAAAAUCCGUAGAGAUCAAGAAGAAUACCCAUUGCGAAAGCGAUCUGCUGGAACCUAACUGACGCUGAGGCGUGAAAGCGUGGGUAGCAAACAGG